This 2693-nucleotide ribosomal RNA is filed under the name Triticum aestivum (bread wheat). RNAcentral describes it as "partial small subunit ribosomal RNA". Lineage: Eukaryota; Viridiplantae; Streptophyta; Magnoliopsida; Poales; Poaceae. The record is from RNAcentral.
CUCCGAGCCCCCUCCGAUACCCCUCUUUCCACGCGGUUUUCAGCCCUCGAGGGGGGACCCGAGGAUUCGGAGGAGAUGAUGCCACCGCCGCCUCCUCAAUGCACCGCCGCCCGACUCCUCCUCAAGACGUCGUCGCCCGCCACCUCUACGCUGGCGUAUCUCCUCCGGCAUACCCCCGGGUGUAAGUCCUCGCCUUGCCUCGCCUCUUCCCCUUUCCCCUUGUCAUCUAGGUUUUGUCCACCCCCAGCGAGCUCGCCAUGGUUGCCGCCUCGUCCUCCCCAACGAGCUCGCCAAGCACGCUGUCUCUGAGGGCACCUAGUCCGUCAGCAAGUUCACCUCCUCCUCCUCCUCCUCCUAGGCUACCAUUGGCUCUGCUUAUCUCUCCAAGUAGUGACAAUGGUAGUGCAAUCUCUCUACAAGUAGUGUCCAGACCCAUCUUAGUAUUCAACAGAUUUGAUAUUGAUUGACAUGCCCUUUGGCUGAAUUUUAUUAGAAGCCAAUACGGAUGUACUUGAGUAGAUUUAGAACCCACAGAUGUUGCAGUUCUUCAGUCUGGAGCAAACAAUUUCUUCAGAGAUCAUUGUCUUUUCCUAAGCAGAGUUGAUGUACUGAUGCUUUAUUCCGCUGUUCUUCGACCACUACUGUUGUUGCGUCCGCGCUCAUAAACACAACCAUGUAAUCUUGUGGAAAGGAGUAUUGUAUGCAUAUGGUCCGAAGAUAUAAUUGUCCAAAAUCCGGUGUUUGCUGCUGCAAUCCAAGUACAGUAUUUGUAAAUUAGUGAUGGUGAUGGUCUGAUGUUAUAAUUGUUGUGUGUAUGUUUUGUGACCAUGGACAACUCUAGUAUAUUGAUUGCCAGUUCAAGGUUAUACAUAAUUCUUUGGUUAGGAAACGAUGGACAAACUUGCACGUAUCACACCUUGCAUCAGAUUUACAGUGUGAGUCAAUCUCUUGUCAUUCCAUCUUCUCAAAUGACCGGCAAAAGUGUAGCCCAUCUCUAUAUCUGUUGUUCAGGGUUCAACAGGUGUAUGUUUGAUAGAUCUUGUAGAGCAUUAUCGUUUGGAAAUUUAGCCGGAAGCCAUAAAGCUAUGCUAAGUAACCAAUUUAUGCAUGUCCAGCCUUAAAAUCUAGUGUUAAAUAUUAUUCAGUAUAAUUUGUAUUGUUGUUUGGUUUAGAUUAGAUGUUUGGCAACUAUCUUUUUGAGUUAAAGCCACCUAUAAUCCUCCCACAAAUUUUUUUAACUGCCCCAAAUUUGAGCAGGAUAGGUGAGCUCUCAUGAUGCUCGAUUUUUUGAUCUGUUUAAUGAUGUUAUAUGGCAUAUGGCAAAUAACUAGUGGAAUAUAGUUUAUUUGCAGUGACAUUCGUUUUUGAUCUAUUUAAGUAUGGAACUUUUGAUCAGCUGUUAAGCAUUUGGUAAACUCUAUGACAUGAUGUACACAACCACAAAUCUUUAUGGCAAUUAGAUUGCAGUAUGGUAUUUGUUUCUUGUAUGAAUGAUUAUAUGUCAUCGUACAUGUAGAUGAUAUGUUCUUAUUUUGACUGGACAUGAGGGGGAGCAAGGUGGCUGGAGAUGGGAAAACGAUGAGGCUUUGUUUGGUAGAAGUGGAAUGGGGAGGUUUGGGGAGGGCUGGUGGUGGCUGUAGGUAGGUGACGUAUCCUUUCCGCAUCCUCAUGGCCAGCACCGUUAUAUUCCUAGAUAGAAACAAUACAUCCAGAUCCAAUAUUCUUCUUCUAAUUAUUAUUACAUCUGAAAAAAGCAUACCCCUAGAUAGAUAAAUGGAUGGAUGAAUUUGUGUGUCAUCUUUGAUUUUCUAAGUUGACUGACAUGAAUUCAGAAUUGAAGAGGAGGCCCGGGUAGAAUUAAUGUCAGAUGAGCCAAACUGAAUGUGCUUAUUUCCGAAUAAUGUUCAGUCAGAAAAAACUUGAACCAAAACUGAAUAACCUACGGUCAUAAGGAAAUUCUUUGUUUGGAAACUGAUUGUCUAUCUAGAAUGUUGCAGUUGUGGCACUACAUGAUCUUACUAAUGCUGUCUUUUCUACUCAAUGUGGCUGUAUUUUCUUGGUGGUAUCACGCAGAUUGGUUCUUAUUUAUGUCGUCUAUUUUUUUAUCUAGCUAGCUAGCUAACUUGCUCCAUUUCCAUUGAACUGAAUCUAUGUAAUAGACCUUGCUAACUUGUUCUCCCUCCAUACAUAAAAAAAAAACUUGUUCUCCCUCCAUGGACCUUGCAGCCUCUUCCACAUUCCACCACCAUCAGCCUCCUUAACCCCAACCGAAGAGCUGGCCUUUUCCCCACUCACACGGCGCUGUGGUACGCGGAUGUCGCUGCAGAGUAGAGAGAUACCCCUAGAAGUCGCCUUCCUGUCCACCUCUUCAGAAGUGCCACCGCCUUGGACACGACGACAUUAGAACCCAAUUCCUAUCAUAGAGAUAUGGGGUCAGGAAAACCCAACAGUUCAUUUAUUCCUGCUAGUUAAACUUGGGCUGUUAUAGAGAUAUGCAGGCCCAUCUAAUUACAUGUUACUCUCAAACUGUUUGAGCAAUAUGCAGUGAUGUUAGUCUGUAAUGCAUUGACAAUGGCCGCUACUUCAGGCGUUGCUAGCUGCAUUUCUCUACUGCCCUGUUGUUUUGUAGGUGACGCCCUUAGUUUUGCUACUUUGCAUAUUCUGGGAGCAAUUACAGUGAGGUUAUAUGUGAU